RNAcentral lists this ribosomal RNA (497 nucleotides) under uncultured bacterium. RNAcentral describes it as "partial 16S ribosomal RNA". It matches the Rfam family "Bacterial small subunit ribosomal RNA", at positions 28 to 507 of the family's 1533-position model. The record is from RNAcentral.
GAUGAACGCUGGCGGCGUGCCUAAUACAUGCCAGUCGAGCGAACAGAUGGGGAGCUUGCUCCUCUGACGUUAGCGGCGGACGGGUGAGUAACACGUGGAUAACCUACCUAUAAGACUGGGAUAACUUCGGGAAACCGGAGCUAAUACCGGAUAAUAUAUUGAACCGCAUGGUUCAAUAGUGAAAGACGGUUUUGCUGUCACUUAUAGAUGGAUCCGCGCCGCAUUAGCUAGUUGGUAAGGUAACGGCUUACCAAGGCAACGAUGCGUAGCCGACCUGAGAGGGUGAUCGGCCACACUGGAACUGAGACACGGUCCAGACUCCUACGGGAGGCAGCAGUAGGGAAUCUUCCGCAAUGGGCGAAAGCCUGACGGAGCAACGCCGCGUGAGUGAUGAAGGUCUUCGGAUCGUAAAACUCUGUUAUUAGGGAAGAACAAAUGUGUAAGUAACUAUGCACGUCUUGACGGUACCUAAUCAGAAAGCCACGGCUAACUACGUG